RNAcentral lists this small RNA (83 nucleotides) under Marmota monax (woodchuck). The record is from RNAcentral. Lineage: Eukaryota; Metazoa; Chordata; Mammalia; Rodentia; Sciuridae.
GCCAGGUGCGGUGGUGCACACCUGUAAUCCCAGUGGCUCGGGAGGCUGAGGCAGGAGGAUCAGGAGUUCAAAGCCAGCCUCAG